This 491-nucleotide ribosomal RNA is filed under the name uncultured bacterium. RNAcentral describes it as "partial 16S ribosomal RNA". It matches the Rfam family "Bacterial small subunit ribosomal RNA", at positions 28 to 507 of the family's 1533-position model. The record is from RNAcentral.
GAUGAACGCUGGCUACAGGCUUAACACAUGCCAGUCGAGGGGAAACGACGGGGAAGCUUGCUUCCCCGGGCGUCGACCGGCGCACGGGUGAGUAACGCGUAUCCAACCUGCCUCUGACUGAGGGAUAACCCGUCGAAAGUCGGCCUAAUACCUCAUGGCAUCGUCUGCGGGCAUCCAACGACGAUUAAAGAUUUCAUCGGUCAGAGAUGGGGAUGCGUCUGAUUAGCUUGUUGGUGGGGUAACGGCCCACCAAGGCGACGAUCAGUAGGGGUUCUGAGAGGAAGGUCCCCCACAUUGGAACUGAGACACGGUCCAAACUCCUACGGGAGGCAGCAGUGAGGAAUAUUGGUCAAUGGGCGAGAGCCUGAACCAGCCAAGUAGCGUGCAGGAUGACGGCCCUAUGGGUUGUAAACUGCUUUUAUGCGGGGAUAAAGUGAGGGACGUGUCCUUCAUUGCAGGUACCGCAUGAAUAAGGACCGGCUAAUUCCGUG